GACGAACGCUGGCGGCGUGCCUAAUACAUGCAAGUAGAACGCUGAAGGAGGAGCUUGCUUCUCUGGAUGAGUUGCGAACGGGUGAGUAACGCGUAGGUAACCUGCCUGGUAGCGGGGGAUAACUAUUGGAAACGAUAGCUAAUACCGCAUAAGAGUAGAUGUUGCAUGACAUUUGCUUAAAAGGUGCAAUUGCAUCACUACCAGAUGGACCUGCGUUGUAUUAGCUAGUUGGUGAGGUAACGGCUCACCAAGGCGACGAUACAUAGCCGACCUGAGAGGGUGAUCGGCCACACUGAGACUGAGACACGGCCCAGACUCCUACGGGAGGCAGCAGUAGGGAAUCUUCGGCAAUGGACGGAAGUCUGACCGAGCAACGCCGCGUGAGUGAAGAAGGUUUUCGGAUCGUAAAGCUCUGUUGUAAGAGAAGAACGAGUGUGAGAGUGGAAAGUUCACACUGUGACGGUAUCUUACCAGAAAGGGACGGCUAACUACGUG
This 495-nucleotide ribosomal RNA is filed under the name uncultured bacterium. RNAcentral's name for it is "partial 16S ribosomal RNA". It matches the Rfam family "Bacterial small subunit ribosomal RNA", at positions 28 to 507 of the family's 1533-position model. The record is from RNAcentral.